This 510-nucleotide ribosomal RNA is filed under the name uncultured bacterium. Its description in RNAcentral is "partial 16S ribosomal RNA". It matches the Rfam family "Bacterial small subunit ribosomal RNA", at positions 28 to 507 of the family's 1533-position model. The record is from RNAcentral.
GACGAACGCUGGCGGCGUGCUUAACACAUGCAAGUCGAACGAAGAGCGAUGGAAGCUUGCUUCUAUCAAUCUUAGUGGCGAACGGGUGAGUAACGCGUAAUCAACCUGCCCUUCAGAGGGGGACAACAGUUGGAAACGACUGCUAAUACCGCAUACGAUCUAAUCUCGGCAUCGAGGAAAGAUGAAAGGUGGCCUCUAUUUAUAAGCUAUCACUGAAGGAGGGGAUUGCGUCUGAUUAGCUAGUUGGAGGGGUAACGGCCCACCAAGGCGAUGAUCAGUAGCCGGUCUGAGAGGAUGAACGGCCACAUUGGGACUGAGACACGGCCCAGACUCCUACGGGAGGCAGCAGUGGGGAAUCUUCCGCAAUGGACGAAAGUCUGACGGAGCAACGCCGCGUGAGUGAUGACGGCCUUCGGGUUGUAAAGCUCUGUUAAUCGGGACGAAAGGCCUUCUUGCGAACAGUUAGAAGGAUUGACGGUACCGGAAUAGAAAGCCACGGCUAACUACGUG